CCUACGGGGGGCAGCAGUGGGGAAUAUUGGACAAUGGGGGCAACCCUGAUCCAGCCAUGCCGCGUGUGUGAAGAAUGCCUCGGGUUGUAAAGCACUUUCAGUGAGGAAGAACGCCUGGUGGUUAAUACCCAUCAGGAAAGACAUCACUCACAGAAGAAGCACCGGCUAACUCCGUGCCAGCAGCCGCGGUAAUACGGAGGGUGCGAGCGUUAAUCGGAAUUACUGGGCGUAAAGCGCGCGUAGGUGGCUUGAUAAGCCGGUUGUGAAAGCCCCGGGCUCAACCGUGAACGGCAUCCGGAACUGUCAAGCUUGAGUGCAGGAGAGGAAGGUAGAAUUCCCGGUGUAGCGGUGAAAUGCGUAGAGAUCGGGAGGAAGACCAGUGGCGAAGGCGGCCUUCUGGACUGACACUGACGCUGAGGUGCGAAAGCGUGGGUAGCAAACAGGAUUAGAUACCCUAGUAGUC
This 463-nucleotide ribosomal RNA is filed under the name Vreelandella stevensii. Its description in RNAcentral is "partial 16S ribosomal RNA". It matches the Rfam family "Bacterial small subunit ribosomal RNA", at positions 338 to 795 of the family's 1533-position model. Lineage: Bacteria; Pseudomonadati; Pseudomonadota; Gammaproteobacteria; Oceanospirillales; Halomonadaceae. The record is from RNAcentral.